RNA transcript from Nannospalax galili (Upper Galilee mountains blind mole rat), 2249 nucleotides. It is a transcript of the gene named polyadenylate-binding protein 1 pseudogene, with no coding region annotated. The transcript has a single exon. The record is from RefSeq and is a predicted model, not a curated record. NCBI's taxonomy places the organism in Eukaryota, Metazoa, Chordata, Mammalia, Rodentia, Spalacidae.
UCUUCAUCUUUUAUAAAAUGACCCGUUGAAGCAGCUGAGACCGACCCUUCUCGCCGCCUGGAGCCAACACCGCCCUCCUGGUUCCCAGCGGUCUUCCGCCGUCCCGGUUCCACCUCCGUUGAGCAGUUGUAGAUUCUGGCACUCGCUCUCCUCCUCUCACGGAAAAGGUCGCGGCCUGUGGCCCCGCGGGCAGCCGUGCCGAGAUGAACCCCAGCGCUCCCAGCUACCCCACCGCCUCGCUCUACCUGGGGGACCUCCACCCCGAAGUGACCGAGGCGAUGCUCUACGAGAAGUUCAGCCGGACCGCGCCCAUCCUCUCAUCCCGGUCUGCAGGGACAUGAUCACCCGCCGCUCCUUGGGCUAUGUGAAUUUCCAGUAUGUGAACUUCCAGUAUGUGAACUUCCAGCAGCCGGCAGACGUGGAGUGUGCUUCAGACGCCAUGAAUUUUGAUGUUACAAAGGGCAAGCCAGUUCGCAUCAUGUGGUCUGAGUGAUCCAUCACUUCGCAGAAGUGGAGUAGGGAACAUAUUCAUUGAAACUUUGGACAAACCCCUUGACAAUAAAGCCCUGUAUGACACAUUUUCUACAUUUGGUAACAUCCUUUCACGUAAGGUUGAGUGUGAUGAAAAUGGCUCCAAGGGCUACGGGUUUGUACGUUUUGAGACACAGGAAGCAGCUGAAAGAGCUAUUUUUAAAAUGAAUGGAAUGUUUCUAAAUGAUCGCAAAGUAUUUGUUGGACGAUUUAAGUCUCGUAAGGAACGGGAAGCAGAGCUUGGAGCUGGGGCAAAAGAGUCCACCGACGUUUACAUCGAAAACUUCGGAGAAGACAUGGAUGAUGAGCGCCUUAAGGAUCUCUUUGGCAAGUUUGGGCCUGCCUUAAGUGUGAAAGUAAUGACUGAUGAAAGUGGAAAAUCCAAGGGAUUUGGAUUUGUAAGCUUUGAAAGGCAUGACGUGCACAGAAAGCUGUGGUUGAGAUGAGUGGAAAGGAGCUCAAUGGGAAACAAAUUUAUGUUGGUCGGCUCAGAAAAAAGUGGAACACCAGCCGGAACUUGAGCACAAAUUUGAACAGAUGAAGCAAAGAUAGGAUCACCAGACACCAGGGUGUUAACCUUUAUGUGAAAAAUCUUGAUGAUGGUAUUGAUGGUGAACGUAUCCAGAAAAAGUUUCCUCCAUUUGGUGCAAUCACUAGUGCAAAGGUUAUGAUGGAGGGUGGUCGCAGCAAAGGAUUUGGUUUUGUGUGUUUCUCCUCCCCAGAAGAAGCCACUAAAGCAGUUACAGAAAUGAAUGGUAGAAUUGUGGCCACCAAGCCACUGUUUGUAGCUUUAGCUCAGCGCAAGGAAGAGCACCAGGCUCACCUCACUAACCAGUACAUGCAGAGAAUGGCGAGUGUCCAAGCUGUGCCCAAGCUGUGCCCAACCCCGUGAUCAGCCCCUACCAGCUAGCUCCUCCUUCAGGUUACUUCAUGGCAGCUGUCCCCCAGACACAGAACGGUGCUGCAUACUAUCCUCCUAGCCAAAUUGCUCAACUAAGACCAAGUCCUCGCUGUACUGCUCAGGAUGCCAGACCUCAUCCAUUCUAAAAUAUGCCCGGUGCUAUCUGCCCAGCUGCUCCUAGACCACCAUUUAGUACUAUGAGACCAAAUUCCUCACAGGUUCCACAGUCAUGUCAACACAGCGUGUUGCUAACACAUCAACACAGACGAUGGGGUCCACACCCUGCAGCAGCUGCUACUGCAGCUACUCCUGCUGUCCGCACCAUUCCCCAGCAUAAAUAUGCUGCGGGAGUCUGCAGUCCCCAGCAACAUCUUAAUCCACAGCCACAAGUCACCAUGCAACAGCCUGCUGUUCACAUACAAAGUCAAGAACCGUUAACUCCUUCCAUGUUGGCAUCUGCCCCCGCCCAGCAAAAGCAAAUGUUGGGUGAAUGGCUGUUUCCUCUCAUUCAAGCCAUGUACCCUACUCUGCUGGUAAAAUCACUGGCAUGCUGUUGGAGAUUGAUAACUCAGAAUUACUUCACAUGCUUGAGUCUCCAGAGUCUCUCUGCUGGAAGGUUGAUGAAGCUGUAGCUGUACUACAAGCUCACCAAGCUAAAGAAGCUGCCCAGAAAGCAGUUAACAGUGCCACUGGUGUUCCAACUGUUUAAAGUGAUCAGGGACCAGGAAGAGAAACUCAUGCUUCACUGAAGAAAAAUGUCUAAACAUCGAAAAAUUUAAAUAUUAUGAAAAAAAUUGAAAAAUAUGAAAUAAAAAAG